CUUAUGUGGUUCUUCCCCGACAACACCCAGUUGUUUAGAAAUUUUUGGAAUGUUGUAGCAUUACAAUUUCCCUUUCAUUGGAGCUAACCUGUUCCAGCAUGACGAUGCACCUGUGCGUGAAGCCAGGUUCGAGAAGGCAUGGUUUGCCAAGGUUGGUGUGGAAGAACUCGACCCCUCUGAUGAUGAUUGCCGACCGCUCCCCAGGCCUUCCAGCACAAAAUCAGUCCCCAAGCUCACUAAUGCUCUUGUGGCUGAAUGGACACGAAUCCUCACAGCCACGCUCCAAACUCUAGUGGAAAGCCUUCCCAGAAGGAUGGAGGAAUGGGAUGUUCAACAAGCACAUACGGGUGUGACGGUCAGGUGGCCAUAUAGUAGUUCUUGUCGGGUCAGCACAAGUUCCAAAGGACAAGGAACCUUGAUGGUUAUCUGGGAGACAAAUAACCAGAGCUACAUACGUAACUAUCAUUCUGUUUCACCUGGCUUUAUCAUCAGGGAUGCUGAGAUGGCAUGAGGAACUGACCCACUUUUAGGACUGACUGGUAAGUUGUUCAGAGAUGACCAUCGCAUUCAUUCUACUGGGAGGGGGCGAUGUUAAAACUGGAAGAUGAUUGAGAACGUGAACUGUGAUGCCCAGCGUAGACUUAGUAAUGCUCAUGAGGAGAAGACGGUAGGGCGGGGCAUCCAGCCUGUCCAUGGUUAUGAUGUCCACCAGCUUCUAGUUAGAUAUGGGAGCUUCGCAUGUUUUUCCUCUGAUUGGUGAAGAAUUGGCCGGAGGUUCAGAUGUCCACCAUCUGGUCUAAAUAGUAUUGGGAACAACAGGGAAUGGUUAGUCAAUUGAUUUUACAAAAAUUGGACGAUAUGAACUUGGUUAGAAAUCCAAGGCCAUUGGUUAUUGUCAACAACAAACUAAUUACAGUCGAGGUCAUGAAAAGGCAACACGAUACAUUAAGAACCAGGGGUGUAUCAAAUGUUUUGUUUAACGAUCAAAUUUUUUCCCCUUUAGUACUGCCCUUCAGACGCUAUA
Molecule: long non-coding RNA, 1024 nt
Organism: Ictalurus punctatus (channel catfish)
Lineage: Eukaryota; Metazoa; Chordata; Actinopteri; Siluriformes; Ictaluridae
Source: Ensembl